Molecule: unclassified non-coding RNA, 702 nt
Filed under: Hevea brasiliensis (rubber tree)
Lineage: Eukaryota; Viridiplantae; Streptophyta; Magnoliopsida; Malpighiales; Euphorbiaceae
Source: RNAcentral
UUUCUCUCCGUUUUUUUCUUUCUUCAUCUAUGGCCCAAAAAGAGAAGAAAUCAUCUCCGGGAAUUCCUUGGAGGACACGAAUUGCACUAUCCUUCGUCUCUACCGUUACCGAUUAUUCUCGCCGUCAAAACGGCACCGUUAACCGCCGGCUACUCGGGAUCUUUGGUCUCAAAACUUCUGCCAAUCCAAAUCCAGUUAACGGCGUUAAAUCCUACGACGUCACUGUAGAUUCUUCUCGCGAUCUCUGGUUUCGCCUCUUCAUUCCAACUACCGAUGAAUCUCGGAAUUUGAGUUCACUUCCAAUCAUCGUCUUCUUCCACGGUGGCGGAUUUGUGUAUCUCAGCCCGGAUACGAAGGCGUACGACGCCGUUUGCCGUCGUUUCGCGAGGAAAACCCCGGCUGUUGUUGUCUCUGUUAAUUAUCGGCUUGCUCCGGAACACAAGUAUCCUGCGCAGUAUGACGAUGGCUUUGAUGUGCUCAAGUUCCUUGACAAUGAGAAGAGCCGUGAGCUAUUGCCGGAAAAUGUCGAUUUAUCUCGCUGCUUCCUUGCCGGAGAUAGUGCCGGCGGGAACCUCGCUCAUCACGUGGCUAAGCGCGCAUCUGAAAUGACGUCCAACUUUGGCGCACUGAAGGUAAUUGGACUGGUGGCUAUACAACCCUUUUUUGGAGGAGAGGAACGAACGGAGUCAGAAUUAAAACUAG